UGAGUUUGAUCCUGGCUCAGGAUGAACGCUAGUAGUAUGCUUAACACAUGCAAGUUUAACGAAAAAUUUAUUUUUCGUAGCGAACGGGUGAGUAUAUGCAGAAUUUUUCCUUUUAGUUCAGCACAAAAAUUUCUUUUUAGAAAUCAAAUUCUGAAUAUUGGUAAAGGUUUACUUUUCGAAGUAUUCCGCUAAAAGAUAAAUCUGUUAAAGAUUAGGUUGUUGGUAAUUUAAAAGCUUACCAAGCCUAUGAUCUUUAGUUGGUCUUAGAGGAUGAUCAACCACACUGGAACUGAAAUAUGGUCCAGGCCGUAUAUGGCCAGCAGUGAGGAAUAUUGGACAAUGAACGAAAGUUUGAUCCAGCAAUGUUAUAUGAUUGAUGACGGCUUUUCAAAGUUGUAAAACUCUGUCACCUAAAAGGAUAAAUGACAUUUUAGGUAAAUAGUCCCGGCUAAUACUCGUGCCAGCAGCCGCGGUAAUACGGGAGGGGCAAGCGUUAUCCGAAAUAACUGGGCGUAAAGGGUCCGUAGAUUGUGUUGUAAGUUACUUCAAAAAUACUAGAGGCCUAACCUCAGUCUGAAGUUAAUACUACUCCACUCGAGUUGAUAACAGAAGAAUAGAACUCUGUAAGAAGAGAUAAAAUUCGCAGAUAAACAGAAGAACAUCUAUUUGGCGUAAGCAAUUCUUUAGUAACAACUGACGUUGAGGGACGAAAGUGUAGGUAGCAAACAGGAUUAGAUACCCUGGUAGUCUACACCGUAAAUGCUGAGUGCUCAAACUUAAAUUUUUAGGUUUCAAGCUAACGCGUUAAGCACUCCGCCUGAGGAGUACGAUCGCAGGAUUGGAACUCAAAGGAAUUGACGGGGGCCUACCACAAGUGGUGGAGCAUGUGGUUUAAUGCGAUAAUCCGCGCAAAACCUUACCAACCCUUGACAUAUUGAAAAAAAAGAUUGAAUUAACACAAUUUUUUCACUGUUAAUUAAAAAAUUAAGUAAUUUUCUCUACAGGUGUUGCACGACUGUCGUCAGCUCGUGUCGUGAGAUGUUUGGUUCAUUCCUUUAAACGAGCGUAACUCUUGUUUUUAAAAAUUUACUUCUAAUUUUUAAUUUACAUUAAAAAUUUUGUUUUAAAAAGACUGUUUGUUAAUUAAAACUUUAAAGGAAGGUGAGAAUUAAGUCAAGUCACUGUGGCCCUUAUGGGUUGGGCUACACACGUGCUACAAUGAAAAUGACAAAAAGUAACAAAAAUAAAAAUUUUUAGUUAAUCUUUAAAAAUUUUCUUAGUGCGGAUUGUAAACUGCAACUCGUUUACAUGAAGAUGGAAUCACAAGUAAGCGCAAAUCAGAACGUUGCGGUGAAUACGUACCUUGGCUUUGUACACAC
Molecule: ribosomal RNA, 1379 nt
Filed under: seawater metagenome
Description: bacterial SSU rRNA
Rfam family: Bacterial small subunit ribosomal RNA
Source: RNAcentral